RNAcentral lists this ribosomal RNA (482 nucleotides) under uncultured bacterium. RNAcentral's name for it is "bacterial SSU rRNA". It matches the Rfam family "Bacterial small subunit ribosomal RNA", at positions 30 to 506 of the family's 1533-position model. The record is from RNAcentral.
UUGAACGCUGGCGGAAUGCUUUACACAUGCAAGUCGAACGGCAGCACGGGGGCAACCCUGGUGGCGAGUGGCGAACGGGUGAGUAAUGUAUCGGAACGUACCCAGUCGUGGGGGAUAACUAUCCGAAAGGAUAGCUAAUACCGCAUACGUCCUGAGGGAGAAAGCGGGGGAUCGCAAGACCUCGCGCGGACGGAGCGGCCGAUGGCAGAUUAGGUAGUUGGUGGGAUAAAAGCUUACCAAGCCGACGAUCUGUAGCUGGUCUGAGAGGACGACCAGCCACACUGGGACUGAGACACGGCCCAGACUCCUACGGGAGGCAGCAGUGGGGAAUUUUGGACAAUGGGCGAAAGCCUGAUCCAGCCAUGCCGCGUGCAGGAUGAAGGCCUUCGGGUUGUAAACUGCUUUUGUACGGAACGAAAAAGUCUUCUCUAAUACAGGGGGCGAAUGACGGUACCGUAAGAAUAAGCACCGGCUAACUACGU